GGGAGGGUGGGCAGCGCGGCCCGGCGGAUGGGGGGAGGUGAGGGGAGGCAGAGGCUGGGUGAGAGCUUAGGGAGUGAGGCUGUGAACGCGCUGUGUACGACGCGGGGGUGUGGAUGGACCGGUAUAGAUGGGUCGUGGGGGGAAUGGGGUGUGGGUGGGUGUGAGCCCGUGGGUGUGCUGUGUAGGAUGCAGGGCGUGGGUGGGACGGCGAGAGUGGAGGGUAAGGAUGGGGCAUCAGCACGGUCCUGUGGACAGGAUGUAAAGGAUAGGGGUGAUGGAUGAGCCAUUGGUGAUGUGGGGGUGGAUGGGCCACCAGGGACGUGGAUCCAUGGGGGAUGUGGGGGGUGGAUGGGCCACCAAGGACAUGGAUCCAUGGGGGACGUGGGGGGUGGAUGGGCCACCAAGGACAUGGAUCCAUGGGGGACAUGGGGAGUGAAUGGGCCACCAACAAUAUGGCCCCAUGGACAAGCCAUGAAGGAUGUAGGGUGUGGAAUGGCCAACGGGAGCAUAGGGUAUGGAUGGGUCAUCAACAUGGCCCCAUGGACAAGCCAUGAAGGAUAUAGGGUGUGGAAUGGCCACCAGGAGCAUAGGGUAUGGAUGGGUCAUCAAUGUAGCCCCAUGGACAAGCCAUGAAGGAUAUAGGGGGGGGAUGAACCAUCGGUGAUGUGGGGGUGGAUGGCCACCAAAGACAUGGAUCCAUGGGGGACAUGGGGAGUGAGUGGGCCACCAAGGACGUGACCCCAUGGAUAGGCCAUACAGCCAUGAAUGCGGCCCCAUGGACAAGUCAUGUAGCAUGUGGGGAGUGAAUGGUCCACUGAGGGCACGACCUCACAGACAGACUGUGCAGGAAAUGGGGACUGAAUGGGCCACCAAGGACAUGGGACAUCAACAGUAAGACCACAUGGAUGGGACCUCAACAGUAGGACGCUAUGGAUGGGACAUCAACAGUAAGACCCCGUGGACAAGCCAUGCAGGAUAUAGGGCAUGGAUGAGUCACCAAGAACACGGUGAUAUGGAUGGCCGUGCAGGGCAUGGAUGGGCCAAUGAGGACAUGGACCCCACAAACACCGUGCAGGACAGCCUGACGUGGAGCUUCUCCAGCCUGUUGGAUCUCCCAGCUGUUCCUUUGGCUCACAUCUGUGCAAAGAAGCCGUUGUCAUUUUACUUAAGGAAAAAAAAAGACACAAAAACGUGGCUCAUUCAUUUCAAACGAGGGCAGCAGAGAACAUGAGGAAGGAUGUGAGAUGUGUGCUGGGGACGAGAGGAAACCCAGUCCUGCAUGCAUGGGGUGCAGGGGGAAAAGCUCACAACGGCUUCAGAGCGUUGUGCCCGUGGGUGCGGGGCUGCAGUUGCUCAGACAGGAAGAAUUCUCUACCUCAGACACCUGGCAGUGCAGGCUGUGCCUUCCAUCAGCAUGGAGCUCACAUUCCACAUCACCGGGGUUGUUCCCGUUGGUUCGUGUUUGUCUCCUUCUGGAUGCACACUCAGGAAGCACCUCGCUCUCCUAUGGUUAUCCCCUGCAGCCUCGAGCACACAAAGCUCCAACCACCAGCACUGAUCAAAACCACGUCAUUUUUUCAUCCACCUACUUCCCCUUUUCCCAUUAUCUUUUCCCCUCCUCUCAUCCCAACGAAGCACUCGUGCUGAAACACAGCUUCUUCACCCAGAAGAAAGGUCGGUGGGCGAACUGCACAGGAACUGAGGCAGAGCAUUCCCAAAUCUGCUCUUUUUCAGCACAGCAAAUGGGGAAAUGAGGAAGAGAAGCUGGUGGCAGCAAGGCUGCUGUGCUGGAAGCAGAGCCUGAACCCGGCAGCACAGCAACCAGAUGGCCCUCAGUGGCAUUUUAUUUAAGAACAAACUGCACAAGCUGGGGGGUAAAUGUGCAGGUGGGGAUGGAGAUACUGACCUGGAGAUACCAACCUGCUUAAUGCCCACUGUGCUGCAAGCACGGAGGAGCAGCAGUUGGGAAAUGGAUUUUCCCUGCAGGAAGAGGCUGCGGAAAGGAAGGUAUUGAUUCUCCUGGGUCUGCAUGAAAGGUUUGGGCAGAACCUCUGGAGCUCAAGGGGGAAAUCAUCCGGUGUUCCUUUGGGAACGCUGCUGAGGUGCAGAGGGUGAAGUGCAGAUGUGCUGCCGGCUGAGCACGCUGGGCUCCGGGACCAGCCGAGCAUCACACAUGUCGGGUUUCUGCUCAGCCGCUGCUGUGCCCUCUAGCGGAGCUCUGCUGCUCGUGACACGGAGCUCCUUCCCCGGCAGCUCUUUGUCUGACACCCAUUUCUUCCUACGUGCAAUGUGGCACCGCAUCGGUUCCUGCUGGAGAACAAUUAACUGCUC
Molecule: long non-coding RNA, 2331 nt
Filed under: Gallus gallus (chicken)
Lineage: Eukaryota; Metazoa; Chordata; Aves; Galliformes; Phasianidae
Description: long non-coding RNA NONGGAT005627
Source: RNAcentral